GCAGGGUUGCAUUUCUCUCAAUAUUUUUGGUUCAGCUGUGUUAUGAAUGAAGACGAUAAAGUUGUACAGAAGAUUGUGCCCAAAUACAGCAGUAUGCUAGAGGAGCACGCCCGCUGAUGUACCACGCGAGAGGGCGACCUGAGGAUGCUUCUUGAUGAAAUACAACAUGAUUAUUCUACCAUAUCGGGUCAGGUUCGAUGGUAAUUUAAUCGACGACUACAUAUUUCCUGAAUCAGGUUCAGUAUGCUAAAGGGGCACGGCCGCUGCCGUACCUGAGGUUGGUACACCAGUGACGGCUUGCUGCAUCUUUCAGCGGUUGAGACAACCGCUCCAUACACGUUUGCAUCAUCUCCGUCCUCUCA
This is a long non-coding RNA of Lolium rigidum, 362 nucleotides long. RefSeq lists it as uncharacterized. The transcript is spliced from 3 exons. The record is from RefSeq and is a predicted model, not a curated record. Lineage: Eukaryota; Viridiplantae; Streptophyta; Magnoliopsida; Poales; Poaceae.